RNAcentral lists this ribosomal RNA (253 nucleotides) under uncultured bacterium. RNAcentral describes it as "partial 16S ribosomal RNA". It matches the Rfam family "Bacterial small subunit ribosomal RNA", at positions 524 to 776 of the family's 1533-position model. The record is from RNAcentral.
UACGAAGGGGGCAAGCGUUGUUCGGAAUUACUGGGCGUAAAGAGCGCGUAGGCGGACCAGACAGUCAGAGGUGAAAUCCCGGGGCUCAACCCCGGAACUGCCUUUGAUACUUCUGGUCUAGAGUUCGUGAGGGGAUGGUGGAAUACCCAGUGUAGAGGUGAAAUUCGUAGAUAUUGGGUGGAACACCGGUGGCGAAGGCGACCAUCUGGCACGAUACUGACGCUGAGGCGCGAAAGCGUGGGGAGCAAACAGG